This 446-nucleotide ribosomal RNA is filed under the name uncultured bacterium. RNAcentral's name for it is "bacterial SSU rRNA". It matches the Rfam family "Bacterial small subunit ribosomal RNA", at positions 329 to 792 of the family's 1533-position model. The record is from RNAcentral.
UUCCAGACUCCUACGGGAGGCAGCAGUGGGGGAUAUUGCACAAUGGGGGAAACCCUGAUGCAGCGACGCCGCGUGUGGGAAGACGGCCUUCUGGAUUGUAAACCACUGUCCCCAGGGACGAAAAUGACGGUACCUGGGGAGGAAGCUCCGGCUAACUACGUGCCAGCAGCCGCGGUAAUACGUAGGGAGCAAGCGUUGUCCGGAAUUACUGGGUGUAAAGGGAGCGUAGGCGGGCGAGAAAGUUGAAUGUUAAAUCUACCGGCUUAACUGGUAGCUGCGUUCAAAACUUCUUGUCUUGAGUGAAGUAGAGGCAGGCGGAAUUCCUAGUGUAGCGGUGAAAUGCGUAGAUAUUAGGAGGAACACCAGUGGCGAAGGCGGCCUGCUGGGCUUUAACUGACGCUGAGGCUCGAAAGCGUGGGGAGCAAACAGGAUUAGAUCCCCUUGUA